RNAcentral lists this long non-coding RNA (298 nucleotides) under Prunus persica (peach). Its description in RNAcentral is "long non-coding RNA (PPER_LNC003623)". The record is from RNAcentral. Lineage: Eukaryota; Viridiplantae; Streptophyta; Magnoliopsida; Rosales; Rosaceae.
CCAUUUAAAAGAGGAGUGUAUGGAUUCAGUUUAAGUAUAUUUGAAUGAUUAUAUGAUUGAACCUUAACUACUCUAUAUAUCCUUUCAUUUUGAAUUUAGAUGAACUUGUUCAGAUAUGGUCAGGGGCUAAGUCUGAACUUGCUUCCAUAGUCUUCCUAGUGGUUCUAGGGUUUGAGGUAGUAUUAAAAGCAAACUUUACCUAAGGUUUCUCUAAACUUUCUAGUGAAGUACAAACUUUCAUGUUUUAAGGCUAUCGCUUAAUUGCCUUUCCUUUACCUUAGGUUUCUCUCAAUUUUCU